This is a long non-coding RNA of Ictalurus punctatus (channel catfish), 961 nucleotides long. The record is from Ensembl. Lineage: Eukaryota; Metazoa; Chordata; Actinopteri; Siluriformes; Ictaluridae.
GUGUGUACGGUACCCCUGUGACUGUUUUCUCUACUCUGAAAGCACAGAGAAUGGGAUCAGGAGGAGGCUCAGCACUAAUGAAGCACGACUCCACACCAUGAGAAAGUGACAGAGGGAUAAAACACAGGUGUCCUUGCUCCUUUCUCAACUGUGGAUUUCUAUAGAGCUCUGUGAGUGUCUGUGUGUGUGUCUGUGAGUGUCUGUGAGUGUCUGUGUGUGUGUCUGUAUGUGUCUGAGUGUUUGUCUGUGUGUCUGUAUGUGUCUGUAUGUGUCUGUGUGUGUGUCUGUAUGUGUCUGUGUGUGUCUGUGUGUGUCUGUGUGUGUGUCUGUAUGUGUCUGUAUGUGUCUGUGUGUGUCUGUGUGUGUGUCUGUAUGUCUCUGUGUGUGUGUCUGUGUGUGUCUGUGUGUGUCUGUGUGUGUGUCUGUAUGUGUCUGUGUGUGUGUCCUGUAUGUGUCUGUGUGUGUCUGUAUGUGUGUCCUGUAUGUGUCUGUGAGUGUCUGUGAGUGUCUGUGUGUGUCUGUAUGUGUCUGUGAGUGUCUGUGAGUGUCUGUGUGUGUGUCUGUGUGUGUCUGUGUGUGUGUCUGUAUGUGUCUGUGAGUGUCUUUGUGUGUGUCCUGUAUGUGUCUGUGUGUGUCUGUGUGUGUGUCUGUGUGUGUCUGUGUGUGUGUGUCUGUGAGUGUCUGUGUGUGUGUGUCUGUAUGUGUGUGUGUGUGUCUGUAUGUGUGUGUGUGUGUCUGUGUGUGUGUCUGUGUGUGUGUCUGUAUGUGUGUGUGUGUGUCUGUAUGUGUGUGUGUGUGUCUGUAUGUGUGUGUGAGUGUCUGUGUGUGUCUGUGAGUGUCUGUGUGUGUGUCCUGUCUGUGUGUGUGUCCUGUAUGUGUCUGUGAGUGUCUGUGUGUGUGUCUGUAUGUGUCUGUGUGUGUCUGUGUGUGUGUCUGUAUGUGUCUGUAUGUGUCUGUGUGU